GGCCUGGUAGCUCAGUUGGUUAGAGCAUUGUCCAGCUAGGUCAAGGUUGCGGGUUCAAAUCCUGGUUAGGGCA
Molecule: non-coding RNA, 73 nt
Organism: Myotis brandtii (Brandt's bat)
Lineage: Eukaryota; Metazoa; Chordata; Mammalia; Chiroptera; Vespertilionidae
Source: Rfam